This 509-nucleotide ribosomal RNA is filed under the name Granulicatella adiacens. RNAcentral's name for it is "bacterial SSU rRNA". It matches the Rfam family "Bacterial small subunit ribosomal RNA", at positions 35 to 525 of the family's 1533-position model. The record is from RNAcentral. Lineage: Bacteria; Bacillati; Bacillota; Bacilli; Lactobacillales; Carnobacteriaceae.
GCUGGCGGCGUGCCUAAUACAUGCAAGUCGAACGAGAGCGACCGGUGCUUGCACUGGUCAAUCUAGUGGCGAACGGGUGAGUAACACGUGGGUAACCUGCCCAUCAGAGGGGGAUAACAUCCGGAAACGGAUGCUAAAACCGCAUAGGUCUUCGAGCCGCAUGGCUUGAAGAGGAAAAGAGGCGCAAGCUUCUGCUGAUGGAUGGACCCGCGGUGCAUUAGCUAGUUGGUGAGGUAACGGCUCACCAAGGCCGUGAUGCAUAGCCGACCUGAGAGGGUGAUCGGCCACAUUGGGACUGAGACACGGCCCAAACUCCUACGGGAGGCAGCAGUAGGGAAUCUUCCGCAAUGGACGCAAGUCUGACGGAGCAACGCCGCGUGAGUGAAGAAGGUUUUCGGAUCGUAAAACUCUGUUGUUAGAGAAGAACAAGUGCUAGAGUAACUGUUAGCGCCUUGACGGUAUCUAACCAGAAAGCCACGGCUAACUACGUGCCAGCAGCCGCGGUAAUA